This 274-nucleotide ribosomal RNA is filed under the name uncultured bacterium. RNAcentral's name for it is "partial 16S ribosomal RNA". It matches the Rfam family "Bacterial small subunit ribosomal RNA", at positions 523 to 796 of the family's 1533-position model. The record is from RNAcentral.
AUACGGAGGGUGCAAGCGUUAAUCGGAAUUACUGGGCGUAAAGCGUACGUAGGCGGUUCGUUAAGUUAGAUGUGAAAGCCCCGGGCUUAACCUGGGAACUGCAUUUAAAACUGGCGGACUAGAGUUGAGUAGAGGGGAGUGGAAUUUCAGGUGUAGCGGUGAAAUGCGUAGAGAUCUGAAGGAACACCAGUGGCGAAGGCGACUCCCUGGACUCGAACUGACGCUGAGGUACGAAAGCGUGGGUAGCAAACGGGAUUAGAUACCCCUGUAGUCC